This is a long non-coding RNA of Silurus meridionalis, 356 nucleotides long. RefSeq lists it as uncharacterized. The transcript has 3 exons. The record is from RefSeq and is a predicted model, not a curated record. Lineage: Eukaryota; Metazoa; Chordata; Actinopteri; Siluriformes; Siluridae.
ACAUUUCCACCUAUACUUGAUUGAAAAAAUCUUAACAUCAAAGCCUGGUGGUGAACAAAUUAUGCAAGAGUAUGGAAAAACCAAAUCCCUGACAGAUGCCACCAGAAGACAGAUGAUUAACAUACUUGCUGCUGAGAUGACAGAAACACAUGGGACAUCCCCCCCCAAAAGUGUCAGAGUGAUGUAUGCACAGGGGAUAGUAGCUUUGUUUCCCUAUCUAGAAGACCCAUACUCACAACAUGGAUAUGAACAUUACUACGAUCCAGAGAGUGGUUCAGGAUACCUUGCAUGGCGAUUGAAGACCAUACAAAGAAAAACAGCAGAGUAAAGAGGUACCUCAGUCAGCAAAUCUCCUA